GGUUUUCCUACCUCAGCACUGGUUCCUGCAGAGGUUUCUGCUCUGAAACCUGACCUCUGGUGGAUGACUGCCGGUCUUCAUUGCAAAUCUCCUUUAUGCUGACAAUGGUAAUCUGGAGCUCUCAAAAUGUUUGCCAAAGCAACAAGGAAUUUUCUUAGAGAAGUUGAUGCUGGAGGUCACCUGAUUGCUGUAUCAAACUUGAAUGACUCUGAUAAAUUACAACUUCUAAGUCUGGUGACCAAAAAAAAGAGAUUGUGGUGCUGGCAGAGACCCAAGUACCAGUUUUUAUCUGUCACCCUGGGAGAUGUACUCACAGAAGACCAGUUUUUGAGUCCAGUGGUCGUGGAGUCGGACUUUGUGAAGUACGAGGGCAAGUUUGAAAACCAUGUGAGUGGGACCCUGGAGACGGCACUGGGGAAGGUCAAGCUGAACGUUGGUGGCAAAGGCCUCGUGGAGAGUCAGUCCUCGUUUGGAAGCCUGAGGAAGCAGGAGCUGGACUUGCAGCGGCUCAUUGGAGUUGCCCGGGAGAGAACAAUAAAUCUGAAGAAUCCAGUGCUGCAGCAGGUGCUGGAGAGGAAGAAUGAGGUCCUGUGUGUCCUGACACAGAAGAUAGUGACGACGCAGAAGUGUGUGAUAUCCGAGCACGUCCAGAUGGAGGAGAAGUGCGGUGGCAUGGUGGGGAUGCAGACCAAGAAGGUGCAGGUGUGCACCCAGCGAGUGGAGGUGUCAGCGACGGAGGAUGGGAACAUCAUCAAGGACAGUAAUGUGGUGCUGGAAAUCCCGGCUCCCACCACCAUCGCCUACGGCGUCGUCGAGCUGUACGUGAGAGCAGACGGCCGGUUCGAAUUCUGCCUUCUGCAAGGGAAGCACGGGGGCUUCGAGCAGGAGAGGAGAAGUGACUCUGCCUUGCUGGACCUCCUGCCCUUAAAAGAGUUUGCGUUCUGGGACAUGCCAGAUGCUGGGCAAGGGCUGCCUGCCUCGGAUGGGCCACUGAGUGUUUUAAAACAAGCCACUCUGUUCUUGGAGAGGAAUUUCCAUCCCUUUGUGGAGCUGCCAGAGCAGCAACAGAGAGCUCUGAACGACGUCCUCCAGGCGGUCCUGUUUGAUGAAGAAUUACUCUUGGUUCUGGAGCAAGUGUGUGAGGACAUAGUCAGCAGCCUGUCACCCUCAUUGGCGGUGCUGGGGAAGCUGAAGCCUUCACAGCAGCGGGACCUCGUGGCCUUCCUGCGGCUAGUGGGAUACAGUGUGCAGGGCGAGUGUCCAGGCCCGGAGGAUGUGGUCCACAACCAGAAACUCCUUUCUACGGCCUACUUCUUGGUCAGUGCGCUAGCAGAAAUGCCAGAUAAUGCAGCAGUUCUGCUGGGCACUUGUUGUAAGCUCCAGAUUAUUCCUACACUGUGCCACCUGCUCCAUGCUCUGUCUGAUGAUGGUGUGUCUGAUCUUGAAGACCCAGUCUUGGCUCCACUGAAAGAUACAGAAAGGUUUGGGAUCGUGCAGCGUCUGUUUGCCUCAGCUGACAUUAACCUGGAGAGACUGCAACCUUCCGUGAAAGCUGCCACCCGGAAGGACCCUAACGUUUUCCCACUGGUUCUUUAUAUAAGCCUGAAUGGACUCUGUGCUUUGGGCAGAGCACAGUAACAGUGUCCUAUGUGGAUUACAGUCUUUCCAGCUGGCACUCGUGUUUGAAUUUAUGAGUAUUCUGUGUCUUCUGUUUCACUGAUACUAAGGAACUGGCUUGGAAUGAGACCAGCGCUUCCUCCCUCUUUUACAUGGCUAGCCUAGAAUCAAAUUAAUGAAUUGUAUAUCUCAGUGAUCAAAACUUGAGACCACAUUCUAAUAA
RNA transcript from Balaenoptera ricei (Rice's whale), 1840 nucleotides. It is a transcript of the gene named gasdermin E, with no coding region annotated. The transcript is spliced from 13 exons. The record is from RefSeq and is a predicted model, not a curated record. NCBI's taxonomy places the organism in Eukaryota, Metazoa, Chordata, Mammalia, Artiodactyla, Balaenopteridae.